This 491-nucleotide ribosomal RNA is filed under the name uncultured bacterium. RNAcentral's name for it is "bacterial SSU rRNA". It matches the Rfam family "Bacterial small subunit ribosomal RNA", at positions 30 to 517 of the family's 1533-position model. The record is from RNAcentral.
AUUGAACGCUGGCGGAAUGCUUUACACAUGCAAGUCGAACGGUAGAGGGGGCAACCCCUUGAGAGUGGCGAACGGGUGAGUAAUAUAUCGGAACGUGCCCAGUCGUGGGGAUAACGUAGCGAAAGUUACGCUAAUACCGCAUACGAUCUAAGGAUGAAAGCGGGGGAUCGCAAGACCUCGCGCGAUUGGAGCGGCCGAUAUCAGAUUAGGUAGUUGGUGGGGUAAAGGCUCACCAAGCCAACGAUCUGUAGCUGGUCUGAGAGGACGACCAGCCACACUGGAACUGAGACACGGUCCAGACUCCUACGGGAGGCAGCAGUGGGGAAUUUUGGACAAUGGACGCAAGUCUGAUCCAGCCAUUCCGCGUGCAGGAUGAAGGCCCUCGGGUUGUAAACUGCUUUUGUACGGAACGAAAAGGUUUCUAAGUUAAUACUAGGAGCUCAUGACGGUACCGUAAGAAUAAGCACCGGCUAACUACGUGCCAGCAGCCG